This 492-nucleotide ribosomal RNA is filed under the name uncultured bacterium. RNAcentral's name for it is "partial 16S ribosomal RNA". It matches the Rfam family "Bacterial small subunit ribosomal RNA", at positions 29 to 507 of the family's 1533-position model. The record is from RNAcentral.
AGUGAACGCUGGCGGUAGGCCUAACACAUGCAAGUCGAACGGCAGCACAGUAAGAGCUUGCUCUUACGGGUGGCGAGUGGCGGACGGGUGAGGAAUACAUCGGAAUCUACUUUUUCGUGGGGGAUAACGUAGGGAAACUUACGCUAAUACCGCAUACGACCUACGGGUGAAAGCAGGGGAUCUUCGGACCUUGCGCGAUUGAAUGAGCCGAUGUCGGAUUAGCUAGUUGGCGGGGUAAAGGCCCACCAAGGCGACGAUCCGUAGCUGGUCUGAGAGGAUGAUCAGCCACACUGGAACUGAGACACGGUCCAGACUCCUACGGGAGGCAGCAGUGGGGAAUAUUGGACAAUGGGCGCAAGCCUGAUCCAGUCAUACCGCGUGGGUGAAGAAGGCCUUCGGGUUGUAAAGCCUUUUUGUUGGGAAAGAAAAGCAGCAGGUUAAUACCCCGCUGUUCUGACGGUACCCAAAGAAUAAGCACCGGCUAACUUCGUG